RNAcentral lists this long non-coding RNA (678 nucleotides) under Homo sapiens (human). RNAcentral describes it as "HSALNT0398614". The record is from RNAcentral. Lineage: Eukaryota; Metazoa; Chordata; Mammalia; Primates; Hominidae.
GUUUCUGACAGGAGCGGCCAUAAUGGCUGUGGGAAUCACUCUUAGUCACCUCAGUGCCUUUCUCUCUUCGUUGCAAGGGACACUCAAGAGUCGGGUGCCCAGCCAAGGCCAACACGGCGCAGUGGCAUUCUAUUCAGCCUGCUGUGGAAAAAAGAUGGCGGCGCCCUUUGUGCCCAUUAUAGCUGAGAGUGGAGCCUUAGCUGGAGCACCAUGGGCACGGCCAUCUUAGAGGAAGGCAGCAGCCGUACGGCAGAGAAGAUGCUCAUAUCCAGGACAAUUUGGAAAAAUAAACAAGGUUUGAAGAAGUCACGGUGCUGGCCAGGAAGCGGUCACAGAGUUGCCAAAACCAGUGGUCACUGAAAGUGUUAGAUUUGGGGAUAGGGCGGGGGUUCUGGGCUGGGUAAGGCUUUUGUGGGUUAGAUUAGACUCUGACUGAAUGGACGAAGCCGAGAACAGGAGUGAUGCUCCAUUAAAUGCUAAUACCCACAUGGGGCUUGCUAUUAAAACCACUGCCAGUGGGGAAGGGGAUGAGGAGGUGAAGGUGCAACUGUGUUAAUAUCUACAUGUUUCCUUCCAGAAGUAAAGGAAGAUGACAGUGGGGCACUUAAGAAUAUGAAAUUAUUAGAAUGCGAUCAUCCUACUUUGCAAUGUUUCCAGAUUUUUUAAAAAGUCACACUU